CAUUACAACGUCCAAACGACAAACCAAUCGUGAACUUAGUACCCUUUGGACUAAAGGCAGACUGGAUGUAAACCCUUGUGAUGAAGGCGUCUCGGCGUCUUGGGUUGAUCCGAUCGCAGCAUUUCGAUGCUGACUUUGGCUUCCGAAGCGGUUUAUCUACAUCACUUCUAACAUUACUAAACCCUUUAACACUUUUGAACUGACUUGUUGUUAAUGCGGUGCUCCUCGCGAGUACUACUUAACAUUGAUUACGUAAAUUACGAACAACUCUUAACAACGGAUAUCUUGGUUCUCGUAACGAUGAAGAACGCAGCGAAAUGCGAUACGUAAUGCGAAUUGCAGAAUUCAGUGAAUCAUCAAAUCUUUGAACGCAAAUUGCACUCUCGGGAUAGGCCUGGGAGUACGCCUCUUUGACUAUCGAUUCCAUCACUCAACAACUUCUUGUUGUUGGAUACUGGACCAACAUUGCGAUCAGCAAUGCGGUCUUAAACACAUGGAGUUUGAGCUGUCUUGAGAGCUUCGCCUCGGCGAAUAGUCCAAUCGGACUUGCAAACCAAGUUGCCUGUAGUGACGAAGGUAAUUUCGCAAUGCGAAUCCUCCAACGUGACUACGUGGUGCCUUGGGACUUGUCGGUUGAAUGAACGCUCAAGUAGCAAUAAGAAACGAUGUUCGAGGCUUCAAAACCUCAACAACUUUGAAUUAAAAUGUCAAAUGAAGCGAGAAUACCCGCCGAACUUAAGC
This 741-nucleotide unclassified non-coding RNA is filed under the name uncultured fungus. Its description in RNAcentral is "sequence contains 18S rRNA gene, ITS1, 5.8S rRNA gene, ITS2, 28S rRNA gene". The stretch from base 266 to 420 matches the Rfam family "5.8S ribosomal RNA". Lineage: Eukaryota; Fungi. The record is from RNAcentral.